RNAcentral lists this long non-coding RNA (241 nucleotides) under Setaria italica (foxtail millet). Its description in RNAcentral is "long non-coding RNA (SITA_LNC005965)". Lineage: Eukaryota; Viridiplantae; Streptophyta; Magnoliopsida; Poales; Poaceae. The record is from RNAcentral.
UCGUAUCAAGUGCUCGAGCAUUGGAGGCCAAAACAGGGCAGGCCGAUUGGCCUACAAGGGUCCAAGCCGAUCAGCAUGACCUGUUUUAGGCUCCAUUCGUCACCCCCUUUCACCAGGAGGAAGCCCGCGACGUCCCUAGGGUUAUUUCCCAGAUACUUGACCUCGAAGGCACCCCAACCGAUGCCACCAACUAUAAGUACCCAAGAAAUUCAACAAGAAGGAGGAUCCCAAUGAGUUUAGA